GUGGGAACCUGCCUUUAGGUUCGGAAUAACUCAGAGAAAUUUGAGCUAAUACCGGAUAAUGUCUUCGGACCAAAGAUUUAUCGCCUUUAGAUGGGCCCGCGUUGGAUUAGCUAGUUGGUGGGGUAAAGGCCUACCAAGGCGACGAUCCAUAGCUGGUCUGAGAGGAUGAUCAGCCACACUGGGACUGAGACACGGCCCAGACUCCUACGGGAGGCAGCAGUGGGGAAUAUUGGACAAUGGGCGAAAGCCUGAUCCAGCAAUGCCGCGUGAGUGAUGAAGGCCUUAGGGUUGUAAAGCUCUUUUACCAGGGAUGAUAAUGACAGUACCUGGAGAAUAAGCUCCGGCUAACUCCGUGCCAGCAGCCGCGGUAAUACGGAGGGAGCUAGCGUUGUUCGGAAUUACUGGGCGUAAAGCGCGCGUAGGCGGCCUACCAAGUCAGGGGUGAAAUCCCGGGGCUCAACCCCGGAACUGCCCUUGAAACUGGUAAGCUA
This 491-nucleotide ribosomal RNA is filed under the name Erythrobacter donghaensis. RNAcentral describes it as "bacterial SSU rRNA". It matches the Rfam family "Bacterial small subunit ribosomal RNA", at positions 117 to 643 of the family's 1533-position model. Lineage: Bacteria; Pseudomonadati; Pseudomonadota; Alphaproteobacteria; Sphingomonadales; Erythrobacteraceae. The record is from RNAcentral.